This 279-nucleotide ribosomal RNA is filed under the name uncultured bacterium. RNAcentral describes it as "partial 16S ribosomal RNA". It matches the Rfam family "Bacterial small subunit ribosomal RNA", at positions 506 to 784 of the family's 1533-position model. The record is from RNAcentral.
UGCCAGCAGCCGCGGUAAUACGGAGGGAGCUAGCGUUGUUCGGAAUUACUGGGCGUAAAGCGUGCGUAGGCGGAUCGACAAGUUGGGGGUGAAAUCCCGGGGCUUAACCCCGGAACUGCCCUCAAAACUGUCGAUCUAGAGACCGGGAGAGGUAAGCGGAAUUCCUAGUGUAGAGGUGAAAUGCGUAGAUACCCGGAGGAACACCCGUGGCGAAAGCGGCUCUCUGGGCUGUACCUGACGCUGAUACACGAAAGCGUGGGGAGCAAACCGGAUUAGAUA